Molecule: long non-coding RNA, 92 nt
Organism: Sphaeramia orbicularis (orbiculate cardinalfish)
Lineage: Eukaryota; Metazoa; Chordata; Actinopteri; Kurtiformes; Apogonidae
Exons: 4
Source: RefSeq, a predicted model, not a curated record
UUCUAGAGUGUAAAGAUCUGGUAUUGGAGACAUCGAUAUUUCAGUAUCAGUCUGUUCAUCACUAUUAUUCAGAUCUGUGGUGGAACUCAGGU